GGGAGAGCAGGGGGUGCUGGACUUUUCCCGCACGGCCGCGGCCAGGCGGAUCCGGCGUGCUCCUCCCAGCCGUGGGCUUCCACUUACCAGUGUGAGUUCGGACGUGUCUCUUGAGGUCGAAGGUGUCAUUGAAGCCCUUCCCGCAGUACAGACCACAGCUCUGUGCCGUCUGCCCGGAGAUCGGCACUCCUCUGCAGAAACCUUGGCCCAGGUCCCAGGUGGAGACAAACAGGAACCUCUACCCUCCUCUGCCUGUUAGUACUGGAUGGUGUGAGCGAGGUCCCCCAGCUGCACCACAGCAGGGCAGGAGACAGCAGAAGUUAAAACUGUGCCUCGGCCCUCGCGCCAGGGUGCCCGCCCAGAACAGUGGGAGCAGUGCUUCCUGUUGCAGCCCCCACCCAGCCAGGCACAGGCCCAGUGCCUCUGUGGGACUCCAUCCAGGACUUGUUGAAAUGGCCGAUGAUACAAAGGAGCCCCGACUUCACCCAUGGCCAGCUUCCCUCGCCAUCCUCCCUGCAGCCAAAGGACUCGCCCUCACCUGUUCUUUCUGAGACAAAUCAUCUGCCAGGUUUCCGCCUCGGGACACCCAAGCUCAGCACAGACAGCCUAGCAGCCUGGGUGACAGGAUCCCAGGGGACAGGAUUCUCUCCUUGCCAUGGGGAUGAGGACAAAUUCUCCCUUCAUCCUUGAGAUUGGACUCCCGCCACACAUCCUGGAGGAGCCUACAGAGAAGCCGGCAGGUCUCCCUCACCUGGAUGGUGCCAGCGGGUGGCCUGGACCACCCAGAGGCCCUCUCCUGCACCUGACAGGAAGCCCCUGGGGCAUACGUCUCCCCUGCCACUUCCACUGUGGCCACUGGAAGUGUGGCAGAGAAAAUAGCUAGGACAAAAAGAAGUCAAUGAUUUCAACCAACGGAAUUUCUUUGUCCUUUGUAAAAAUCAACACAUGAUCUGUUACUGAUUGGGAUGUGAAAUAAAACUAAAAAUAACAGCACACUGAGCCUGGCUCAGGGCUCAGCUCACCUUUACCACGGUCCAAGUUCAGUUUAUCAGAUCCCAAGGAGCAGCUAAGCAGCAAGUCAAACACAGGGCAAGCGGGGCGCAGCGGGCGCCUGUCCCACCGUCUCGGCUCACUGCGCGGGACUAGCAGCCGGAGCCCAACGAAAAUUUGGGGGCCCACGCCCCCCACCGGCCCGACCCUCACUCCGACCCGGCCACCAGUGUUGUGGGGGAGGAGGAAGGACCUGUGCGAGCGGCUGAAGCUCUGAGCUUUUAACACAAAUCUCGGCCGAAACUCCAGCCCGCUCCCCGCCCCCCAAAGUGGCAUCGCUCCAGUGCCUUCUCCCGCCUCAUGCGAGUCCCGGUUUUCUGGAUUUACGACGUCGGAGCCGAGGGUCGCCUGAGCGGUGACACACCCCGCUGCCUCCUCUGUGCCGCGGUUCAGGGGGUGGGGGUAGGCGGUUCCGCGCCCCCUGGCCCUGGGAGCGGCUCCCCUUCCACCAUGCAGCCCCCGCCCCGACCAGCGCUCUUCCGCCGGCCCCGCCCCCGCCCCCCGAGUCCCGG
RNAcentral lists this long non-coding RNA (1562 nucleotides) under Homo sapiens (human). RNAcentral describes it as "HSALNT0176904". The record is from RNAcentral. Lineage: Eukaryota; Metazoa; Chordata; Mammalia; Primates; Hominidae.